CCUACGGGCGGCUGCAGUGGGGAAUAUUGGGCAAUGGGCGCAAGCCUGACCCAGCAACGUCGCGUGAAGGAAGACGGCCCUCCGGUUGGUAACCUCCUUUGUCCGGGAAGCGUAGAAGACGUUACCUGACGAAUAAGCCACGGCCAACUACGAGACAGCCGCCGCGGUACUACGGAGGUGGCAAGCGUUGUCCGGAUUUACUGGGUGUAAAGGGCGUUUAGUCGGGUUGACAAGUCAGAUGUGAAAUCCUGCGGCUUAACCGCAGAACUGCAUUUGAAACUGUGGAUCUUGAGUACUGGAGAGGCAGCUGGAAUUCCUAGUGUAGCGGUGAAAUGCGUAGAUAUCAGGAAGAACACCGGUGGCGAAGGCAGUCUUCUGGAGAGCAACUGACGCUGAGGCGCGAAAGCGUGGGUAUCAAACAGGAUUAGAUACCCCAGUAGUC
Molecule: ribosomal RNA, 442 nt
Filed under: uncultured bacterium
Lineage: Bacteria
Description: partial 16S ribosomal RNA
Rfam family: Bacterial small subunit ribosomal RNA
Source: RNAcentral